GUCGGGAUAGCUCAGCCGGUAGAGCAGAGGACUGAAAA
This 38-nucleotide transfer RNA is filed under the name Cuscuta lehmanniana. RNAcentral describes it as "partial tRNA-Phe". The record is from RNAcentral. Lineage: Eukaryota; Viridiplantae; Streptophyta; Magnoliopsida; Solanales; Convolvulaceae. RNAcentral also lists the same sequence under 1 other name.